CGUAAAACUCUGUCCUCAAGGAAGAUAAUGACGGUACUUGAGGAGGAAGCCCCGGCUAACUACGUGCCAGCAGCCGCGGUAAUACGUAGGGGGCUAGCGUUAUCCGGAUUUACUGGGCGUAAAGGGUGCGUAGGCGGUCUUUCAAGUCAGGAGUGAAAGGCUACGGCUCAACCGUAGUAAGCUCUUGAAACUGGGAGACUUGAGUGCAGGAGAGGAGAGUGGAAUUCCUAGUGUAGCGGUGAAAUGCGUAGAUAUUAGGAGGAACACCAGUUGCGAAGGCGGCUC
This 285-nucleotide ribosomal RNA is filed under the name Clostridioides difficile. Its description in RNAcentral is "partial 16S ribosomal RNA". It matches the Rfam family "Bacterial small subunit ribosomal RNA", at positions 424 to 727 of the family's 1533-position model. The record is from RNAcentral. Lineage: Bacteria; Bacillati; Bacillota; Clostridia; Peptostreptococcales; Peptostreptococcaceae.